CAUGUCGUCUCCAGCCACCAUCCUCGCCUCUGUCGCCGUCUCUGCCAGCGCCAAGCUGUUGCUGUUCGCCACCCUCCCCCUACUCGAAAGGCAAGUGGACGGUGCCGCAGGACACAGUGCGGCAAAUACGGCGCGAGUCAAGGCUUACGGGAGGAGAUCACUGCAUUCCCACUGCUCCAUACACCCUCAGCAGCUACCUGGCACUCGCACGCACCAAUAAGCGGCGCCGCGUUUGCCUUUCGUUACGAGACAGUGAGCCUUGGGCUAUGCCCGCCACAUCAGCGCCGUCUCCGCUGUUGCCGGCCCUUCGACCCGCUUCUGGCACCAUGGCGGCCCCACAUGUAGCGAUUGAGGCAGCUGCGGAGGCGGCCUCCGCUUCCAGCAAUGAGGAGACGAGCGUAAAGGCGAAGGGGUACGACGAAGAUUGGCACCGACUACCGAGUGAAAUUAGCUACUUCCAAGACCUUCUAGCCUCCCUAGAGGAGAAGCAGCAGCUGGCCUCUGCCGCCUCCUCCGCAAACGCCGUCGCCACUAGGGGGCCUUCCUACAGCAUUUCCCUGCAGCGAGAGAGGGAGCUGGAGGAGCGCGAGUUGGCGGAUCUGCGUCUUCGCAAGCGACAGCUCGCCAUCAUCGAGGCCCGGCGCCGUCGAUCGCGGCGUAGAUGCGACGCCGUCGACGAGGCUUUUCAGAAAGCUCUGAAGCGGCGAUGGCAGGCGAUGCAGCACCUCGCCGCCGAUCCGCCUGCCGAGCGCCUGGUGGGGCAAGGCAUGACGCAGUACGUUCCGGCAGCGCUGCUGCCGGAUGACGUGGUGGACAGGCGCGGACGCCACCAACCGGGCCCGCUGCCCCUCGCGCCGCAGUCGGCGGUGGAGGCGCGGAUGCGCCGCACACCCAAUCCACCGGCGAUCACAGGUGCAGGUCCUACUUCGGCCACGGUCGUGAGGGCCCUCAAGAAUUGCUCGUCUGGCACGACUGCAGAGGAGGACGCCAUCGUCUUCUUGACCCAACUCGACGCCUGUGGAAAGCUUGUGUGCAAGGACGGGGCAACGGGCGGCAGUCACAGCCCGACCCAGUCUCCUUCCGUGUCAUCACGGGUGGUAGCGAUGACCAGCAGUGAAGGGAUGAGGGCGGAAGACGAGGCACUACCACGAACAACGUCCGCCCACGCCGCCUCGACGAUUGGCGCUGAGGCGUUGACGAACGCAGACGUGCGUGAGGACGACAACGAAGACGAAGGGGGUUGGAUUCGGCCUGCGACGGUUACCGAGGCGAACAAAGCACGCUGGCAGGAAAUGGGCUAUCACGUCAUCGUGGUCGGCGGGAAGGGGCGAUGCGGCGGCGCCGCUGCGCGUGAGGCGGACGCUGUGCGCCGUGCAAUUCGGUCUGUAGAGGCCCUGCCGAACGAGAGGGUGGCGCCGCGGGCUGUUGAGCAGCGCACUGCAGCCUCCUCGUCAUCCCUCACGCGCCGCAAGCCCCCGAACGACCAGCAAGCAAAGUGCACGAGCGUCCCAAGGUGGGAUUGGAUGCAGCUCGCGCCGUUGCCUCAGGUGUGCCUCGUGCAACGGCGUCUUCCGGAAGAAGACAUGACCGUCGCGGAGCUGCGGGAGCGGCAUCGUCGGCACAUGCCCGUUGCAUCCUCGACCACCUCUGUGCCGCGUGGGCGGCAGAAUCGUGGUGAUCGUUUGUGGAGGGUGAGUGGUAAGUCUGUGCCUCACUAGAGGGCGCCGAGGCAGUGUGGUUGGCCGUUGCCGAAGUACCGAUGCGCGUUCCCCCUCCCCCUCUCGACUUGCACACUCCUGUGCGUGCCUGUUCCUGCCCAUUUCUCAUGCCCUCCGCCUCCGCCCUCUUUUCUCUCGCUUCGGUUUAGUGUCCGCUUCGCCUUCACGAGGCGGCUGUGGAUGUAAAGGGCGCGCAGGCAGAAUGGCGAAAACGAGGGGAGGACGCCGACGCGCUCCCCGUGUACACGUGCUGGCUACCAGCAGCAAGGCAUGUGCGUCUGUGUCCCUCUCUCUCUGUGUUUGUGUGUGUGUCCGCGCCGGCCUCGCAUGCAUGGUUUAUGCGCAGCCCGGCCUCCUUUUUUAUAUAUCCUGCCUCUCUUCCCCCACGCUUCCCACAUUGCCGGCGCCGCUCCAGUCUGCAGGAGGCGGCGUAAGGCGACAGGGGGGAGGCAGGGGGGGGGUGCCAGGGACGGUGACGACGACAAACGGCGCGUUGGGCACUCUGUUCACUACUCUUCAAGGGAAAGGUGCACGCAGCCACCCGAGCACAGCGUUGCAUGUGCCUUUCCCCUCUUUUGUUUUUGCUAUGAUUCUGUGCCGUUGCAUCCUUUGGAACGCAUGUAAGUAGCGAGGUGCACGCGCCUUUGAACCCCCCUUCCUCCCUCUUAGAGGCGAGACCAUGGUGAUUUACUCGAAGCACGGCGUCCGUGCGUCCUGCUCAGAAAAGCACGAAACAGCGACGCUUCUUACGCCGGGUCAUGAGAGGUUUUCGCUGUCUUGCGCACACGGCGAAAGAGACCCGAGUCGUGUGUUUUUCCCCUUACCUUCUGCCCACUAGACUCACGGCUUGUCGUCGCGCGACGCUGCUUGCUUUUCUCCUGUGCUGACGUGUUUGUGUGUGG
RNAcentral lists this unclassified non-coding RNA (2620 nucleotides) under Leishmania donovani. RNAcentral's name for it is "gene:LdHU3.29.0830(CDS-product:hypothetical_prote in_conserved)". Lineage: Eukaryota; Euglenozoa; Kinetoplastea; Trypanosomatida; Trypanosomatidae. The record is from RNAcentral.